UACGGAGGGUGCAAGCGUUAUCCGGAUUCACUGGGUUAAAAGGGUGCGUAGGCGGGCAGGUAAGUCAGUGGUGAAAUCUCCGGGCUUAACCCGGAAACUGCCGUUGAUACUAUCUGUCUUGAAUAUCGUGGAGGUAAGCGGAAUAUGUCAUGUAGCGGUGAAAUGCUUAGAUAUGACAUAGAACACCCAUUGCGAAGGCAGCUUACUACACGAUCAUUGACGCUGAGGCACGAAAGCGUGGGGAGCAAACAGG
Molecule: ribosomal RNA, 253 nt
Filed under: uncultured bacterium
Lineage: Bacteria
Description: partial 16S ribosomal RNA
Rfam family: Bacterial small subunit ribosomal RNA
Source: RNAcentral